AUUGAACGCUGGCGGCAUGCUUUACACAUGCAAGUCGAGCGGCAGCGCGGGGGCAACCCUGGCGGCGAGCGGCGGACGGGUGAGCAAUGCAUCGGAACGUAUCCCCGUAGUGGGGGACAACCCAGCGAAAGCUGGGCUAAUACCGCAUAUGCUCUACGGAGGAAAGUGGGGGACCCGCAAGGGCCUCACGCUAUGGGGGCGGCCGAUGUCCGAUUAGCUAGUUGGUGGGGUAAAGGCCUACCAAGGCGACGAUCGGUAGCUGGUCUGAGAGGAUGAUCAGCCACACUGGGACUGAGACACGGCCCAGACUCCUACGGGAGGCAGCAGUGGGGAAUUUUGGACAAUGGGGGCAACCCUGAUCCAGCCAUGCCGCGUGCGGGAAGAAGGCCUUCGGGUUGUAACCGACUUUGUCGGUAGAAAGGACACGUCCUAAUACGGACGUGUUCUUGUACGGUACCGGAAGAAUAAG
This 469-nucleotide ribosomal RNA is filed under the name uncultured bacterium. RNAcentral's name for it is "bacterial SSU rRNA". It matches the Rfam family "Bacterial small subunit ribosomal RNA", at positions 29 to 490 of the family's 1533-position model. The record is from RNAcentral.